RNAcentral lists this ribosomal RNA (390 nucleotides) under uncultured bacterium. RNAcentral describes it as "bacterial SSU rRNA". It matches the Rfam family "Bacterial small subunit ribosomal RNA", at positions 30 to 420 of the family's 1533-position model. The record is from RNAcentral.
AUUGAACGCUGGCGGCAUGCCUUACACAUGCAAGUCGAACGGCAGCACGGGAGCAAUCCUGGUGGCGAGUGGCGAACGGGUGAGUAAUGUAUCGGAACGUACCUUUCAGUGGGGGAUAACGUAGCGAAAGUUACGCUAAUACCGCAUAUUCUGUGAGCAGGAAAGCAGGGGAUCGCAAGACCUUGCGCUGAUUGAGCGGCCGAUAUCAGAUUAGCUAGUUGGUGAGGUAAAGGCUCACCAAGGCGACGAUCUGUAGCGGGUCUGAGAGGAUGAUCCGCCACACUGGAACUGAGACACGGUCCAGACUCCUACGGGAGGCAGCAGUGGGGAAUUUUGGACAAUGGGCGCAAGCCUGAUCCAGCCAUGCCGCGUGAGUGAAGUAGGCCUCGG